Molecule: long non-coding RNA, 766 nt
Organism: Frieseomelitta varia
Lineage: Eukaryota; Metazoa; Arthropoda; Insecta; Hymenoptera; Apidae
Exons: 2
Source: RefSeq, a predicted model, not a curated record
GUCGGCCGACGUCGGCCUCGAUCAGCCGCUCGGCGCUCAGUUCGAGUCGGACCUCCGUCGUAGUCGGAUUGUGUCGUUCUGCCGCGCUGUCUCUCUCUCUUUCUCUCUUUCUCCUUCUCUUUUUCUCUCAUUCCCUCCCGUGGGCACGCGCGCGCGCGCGCCACUGUAUAUGUGUGUCCCUCGUUCUUCCUCUGUGUCCCCCUUUCCCCCCGGAACGACAACGAGUUCCGCCCAGUGAAAAAGAGUUGAGCUUUUCUGCAAACAAGACGCGUCCUCGGCGGCAGUUGUUUGUUUUCUGGUUUCGCGGUGUCGCGGUGACACAAACAGCGAAGUCGAAGAAACGAGGGACCGCGCGUGCGGAGGAGAGAAGAGACAACGAGUCGCCGCGUGUACCCUGCCACCCGUGUGGGUUCCCAUCGUCGUCGUCGUCGUCGUCGUCCUCCGCGUCGUCGUCGUCGUCGUUGUCGUCGUCAUCGUUGUUGGUGCGAAGAGUUUCAGUCAACGGAAAGAGAAAGAGUAAGGAGUUCUCUUCGCGCACGGAUACGUAAACCGGGGCUACAUAUGUACGCACAGACAUUGGAAACCGGUGCUAUUCAACCGAGCAACUUCUGCAUCGAGUACUCUUCAUUGAUUCGAUUUCGUAUUGUUUUGUGGUGUUUCGUGAAAGGUGUGUUUGUUCAAACCACCGAGUGGUGCGACUGUUUUAUGUAUGUGUGAUUUAAAUCAGUGAUUUCGCAGAAAAAGCCGAUUAUAUUCGGCGAGCAAA